This 253-nucleotide ribosomal RNA is filed under the name uncultured bacterium. RNAcentral describes it as "partial 16S ribosomal RNA". It matches the Rfam family "Bacterial small subunit ribosomal RNA", at positions 524 to 776 of the family's 1533-position model. The record is from RNAcentral.
CACGUAGGGCGCAAGCGUUGUCCGGAAUUAUUGGGCGUAAAGAGCUCGUAGGCGGUCUGUUGCGUCCGCUGUGAAAACUCGGGGCUUAACCCCGAGCCUGCAGUGGAUACGGGCAGACUAGAGGUAGGUAGGGGAGAAUGGAAUUCCCGGUGUAGCGGUGAAAUGCGCAGAUAUCGUGAGGAAGACCAGUGGCGAAGGCGGAUCUCUGGACAGCUCCUGACGCUGAGGCGCGAAGGCUAGGGGAGCAAACGGG